AGUGAACGCUGGCGGUAGGCCUAACACAUGCAAGUCGAACGGCAGCACAGUAAGAGCUUGCUCUUACGGGUGGCGAGUGGCGGACGGGUGAGGAAUACAUCGGAAUCUACUUUUUCGUGGGGGAUAAGGUAGGGAAACUUACGCUAAUACCGCAUACGACCUACGGGUGAAAGCAGGGGAUCUUCGGACCUUGCGGGAUUGAAUGAGCCGAUGCCGGAUUAGCUAGUUGGCCGGGUAAAGGCCCACCAAGGCGACGAUCCGUAGCUGGUCUGAGAGGAAGAUCAGCCACACUGGAACUGAGACACGGUCCAGACGCCUACGGGAGGCAGCAGUGGGGAAUAGUGGACAGUGGGCGCAAGCCUGAUCCAGUCAUACCGCGUGGGUGAAGAAGGCCUUCGGGUUGUAAAGCCCUUUUGUUGGGAAAGAAAAGCAGCAGGUUAAUACCCCGCUGUUCUGACGGUACCCAAAGAAGAAGCACCGGCUAACUUCGUG
RNAcentral lists this ribosomal RNA (492 nucleotides) under uncultured bacterium. Its description in RNAcentral is "partial 16S ribosomal RNA". It matches the Rfam family "Bacterial small subunit ribosomal RNA", at positions 29 to 507 of the family's 1533-position model. The record is from RNAcentral.